AUUAAUAAAUGUUCAUUUCCAACAUACUUUGUGUUCAUUUUAAGCAAGCAGUACAGUAAUUAUUAAACAAUAGUUAAAGAGUUAGAGUUAAAUAAAACCCCCUAGCAGGUUGGGUAAACAUUUAACCCAACCACUGGGUUAAAACAACCCAAUUGCUGGAUUAAAUUAACCCAAUUGCUGGGUUACAACAACCCAUUUGCUAGGUUAAAACAACCCAAAUGCUGGGUUAAAACAACCCAUUGGCUGUGUUUGUCCAUUUUUCAACUCAACUUGAGUGUAUGAUGUACUGUCACUUCAUAUUAUGUGUUUUGUAACUUUUGAUGCAAGUUUUGAAGUUUAAAUCCUUGUUUUCCUCAUUUUGCAUUACAUUAAAUCAUCAGUCACAGUGAUUUCUGACGGCACUCAUAUCACGGCGAUCAUGUAUGCUUUAUGACUUAUAUAAUAUUCCCACUUCAGUGCACAGAACGUUUCUAGACAUGGCCUGAAUAACACGUCAUUAAGGCCACUGCGUCACACGAGAUGCUCACGAACAUCUGUUUUACUAAAACACAAGAUUCAUUUUUUUUAAACAGGAUUUGCCUGCCACAACUCUAAUUAACAUCUACUCCACAACGUUAAUUAUGCGCUUGCGGCCUAAAGAAAAAGCGGGAUUGUGUUAAUUAAGUUUUUAAUCACUUGAAUGCUCCUUGUACAAUAUAUUCAAACAACACAGCUCAGAUGAAUGAAGCUAAUCAGAAUCAAACCGAUAAAAACAGUGUUUCAGAGAACAUUCAAAAGUAACAUUCCCAUAAUGAUUGCAAAAUGGAAUGUUUCCUUAACAUCUGCAUACUUUUAAACAUUUAAAAAAAAAACUGUAGAACAUUCAGAAAUAACAUCAUUGCCUAAUUGGAACAUUCAUUGAACAAAAUAUGUUCCAAUAAUGUUUGGAAUGUUCCAAAUGUUAUUGGAACACAUUUUUGUUAGCUGGGUAGUUUGUUCACUUGUUAGAGAAAGUUUAUUAGUGGUUCUUGGUAAUAUUAGUUCAAAAUCUUUUGACUUAGCAACCAUCCAGAAUCCAGCGACGUCCUAGAAACCCCCCAGAACACAAGAGCAUCAUUGGAGCUUUAUCACAACAGACCUGUGACCCAUUUUCAAGUUUGUGACCCUCUAGCCACUGUAAUAGAUCACCUGUAUUUGUGUUUGCGUCUGCAUGUGCUGGUGUUUCUCUCUCUCGUCUCAUCUGUCUGCUUCCUUCUCUGAAUGAGAGUAUAGAUUGGUGCUGGAUGUGUCUGAGAGCUCAAGGGUGCUCAUUAAAAGCAAACUAGCAUGCUGCACUUCAGUCUGGAGAUGUCUGGAGUGUGAAUGUGGAAGGAUAUUGAUAGAUCUGUCUAUAAUGUCCUCAGUCUCGAUGUCUGUGUAGCAGGAGCUGGUGUGUGAUGAACAAAGCUGGAUAAACAUGAUGAGAAACAUUGCUAGGGAUGACAAAUGAUAUUCACAACCCAAUGUACGGCCAUAACAUGAUGUAUUUUGAGUGCAACUGGAUAUUUAACACAUACACACACAGCAGGUUGGGACUUUUAUCCAUGAGGAACUGACAGGAUCGUGCAAAGACUCUCUAAUUGUUUGGUUACCAACAUUCUUCAAAAUAUCUUCUUUUGUGUACAGCAGAAGAAAGAAAUUCAUACAGGUUUGGAUCAUCUUGAAAGUUAACGUCAGCGUCUCUGGCCGUCGGAUUGGUUCGUGCGCAGAGCUUAUGACCCAUUUUGGUUCAGUGGAAUUCCGAGACUCAUUGCCCUUCCCAACAGAGCACAGGUGCGGAUCAGAACACGCUCCACAAACACUGGAUCAUCAGGGGGGAAUCGCAGCCCCUCAGCGCUCUCGAUGUGUCAAUGCCACACGUGCAACAUCAGCCUCUCGAAACUACAUUUAUAAUGCUAAAGUGGAUGAUUCUUGUUUUAAGCAUGAUUUCACUUCAUUUUUAUACAUUUUUCAAAAUCAAGAUUUGAUAUUUUCAGUCAUAUUGCCUCUCAAGAAAAUGUAUCUUGAUGUAAAAAUGUUGUAUUGGGAAAACAAGACAAAAAUAUCAAAUAAUAAAAUAUUUUUUUAGCAGUGC
Long non-coding RNA from Megalobrama amblycephala (Wuchang bream), 2092 nucleotides. RefSeq lists it as uncharacterized. Lineage: Eukaryota; Metazoa; Chordata; Actinopteri; Cypriniformes; Xenocyprididae. The transcript has 2 exons. The record is from RefSeq and is a predicted model, not a curated record.